GGUCUGAUUCUGGCUCAGAUUGAACGCUGGCGGAGGCACACAUGCAAGUCGAACGGCAGCCAGAUUCUGGUCUGGUGGCGAGUGGCGAACGGGUGAGUAAUGUCGGAACGUGCCUAGUAGCGGGGGAUAACUACGCGAAAGCGUAGCUAAUACCGCAUACGCCCUUCGGGGGAAGCGGGGACCUUCGGCCCCUCGCACCAGAGCGGCCGAUAUCGGAUUAGCUAGUUGGCAGGGCACACAUCUCACUGUUGCGACGAUCCGUAGCUGGUUUGAGAGGACGACCAGCCACACUGGGACUGAGACACGGCCUAGACUCCUACGGGAGGCAGCAGUGGGGAAUUUUUUGACAAUGGGGGAAACCCUGAUCCAGCCAUCCCGCGUGUGCGAUGAAGGCCUUCGGGUUGCAAAGCACUUUUGGCAGGAAAGAAACGGCACUAGAUAAUACCCCGUGCAACUGACGGUAUUCGCAGAAUAAGCACCGGCUAACUACGCGCCAGCAGCCGCGGUAAUACGUAGGGUGCAAGCGUUAAUCGGAAUUUAGCUAGCGUAAAGCGUGCGCAGGCGGUUCGGAAAGAAAGAUGUGAACCAGAGCUUAACUUUGGAACUGCAUUUUUAACUGAGCUAGAGUGUGUCAGAGGGAGGUGGAAUUCCGCGUGUAGCAGCGGAAUGCGUAGAUAUGCAGGAACACCGAUGGCGAAGGCAGCCUCCUGGGAUAACACCGACGCUCAUGCACGAAAGCGUGGGGAGCAAACAGGAUUAGAUACUCCUGGUGUCCACGCCCUAAACGAUGUCAACUAGCUGUUGGGGCCUUCGUAUUCUGGUAGCGCAGCUAACGCGAAUAACGCCUGGGGAGUACGGUCAAAGAUUAAAACUCAAAGGAAUUGACGGGGACCCGCACAAGCAGUGGAUGAUGUGAUUAAUUCGAUGCAACGCGAAAAACCUUAAUUUCACCUCCUUGACAUGUCUGGAAUCCCGAAGAGAUUUGGGAGUGCUCGCAAGAGAACCGGAACACAGGUGCUGCAUGGCUGUCAUUUCCUCUAGCUCGUGUCGUGAGAUGUUGGGUUAAGUCCCAACGAGCGCAACCCUUGUCAUUAGUUGCUACGAAAGGGCACUCUAAUGAGACUGCCGGUGACAAACCGGAGGAAGGUGGGGAUGACGUCAAGUCCUCAUGGCCCUUAUGGGGCUUCACACGUCAUACAAUGGUCGGGACAGAGGGUCGCCAACCCGCGAGGGGGAGCCAAUCCCAGAAACCCGAUCGUAGUCCGGAUCGCAGUCUGCAACUCGACUGCGUGAAGUCGGAAUCGCUAGUAAUCGCGGAUCAGCAUGUCGCGGUGAAUACGUUCCCAGUCUUGUACACACCGCCCGUCACACCAUGGGAGUGGGUUUUACCAGAAGUAGUUAGCCUAACCGUAAGGAGGGCGAUUACCACGGUAGGAUUCAUGACUGGGGUGAAGUCGUAACAAGGUAG
RNAcentral lists this ribosomal RNA (1468 nucleotides) under uncultured Bordetella sp. RNAcentral describes it as "partial 16S-23S ribosomal RNA intergenic spacer". It matches the Rfam family "Bacterial small subunit ribosomal RNA". Lineage: Bacteria; Pseudomonadati; Pseudomonadota; Betaproteobacteria; Burkholderiales; Alcaligenaceae. The record is from RNAcentral.